RNAcentral lists this ribosomal RNA (804 nucleotides) under Stichotrichia sp. 2 cAcq1. Its description in RNAcentral is "SSU rRNA". It matches the Rfam family "Eukaryotic small subunit ribosomal RNA", at positions 417 to 1240 of the family's 1831-position model. The record is from RNAcentral. Lineage: Eukaryota; Ciliophora; Spirotrichea.
UAAGGAAGGCAGCAGGCGCGUAAAUUACCCAAUCCUGACUCAGGGAGGUAGUGACAAGAAAUAACGGACCGAAGCCUAUGUUUCGGGAUUGCAAUGAGUAGAAUUUAAACCCCUUUACGAGGAUCAAUUGGAGGGCAAGUCUGGUGCCAGCAGCCGCGGUAAUUCCAGCUCCAAUAGCGUAUAUUAAAGUUGUUGCAGUUAAAAAGCUCGUAGUUGGAUUUCUGGAAGAGUGACAAUGUCGUCUUGUUGACUGUGCAGCGUCGCUCUUCCAUCCUUCUGUUAACGUUUCGGGUAUUCAUUUACUCGUCUCGGGCUCAGAUAUUUUACCUUGAGAAAAUUAGAGUGUUCCAGGCAGGCUCGCGCCGGAAUACAUUAGCAUGGAAUAAUAGAAUAGGACUUUAGUCUCCUUUGUUGGUUUGAGGGACUGAAGUAAUGAUUAAUAGGGAUAGUUGGGGGCAUUAGUAUUUAAUUGUCAGAGGUGAAAUUCUCGGAUUUGUUAAAGACUAACUUAUGCGAAAGCAUUUGCCAAGGAUGUUUUCAUUAAUCAAGAACGAAAGUUAGGGGAUCAAAGACGAUCAGAUACCGUCCUAGUCUUAACCAUAAACUAUGCCGACUAGGGAUCGGAGGCGCGCUUUAUCCGCCUUCGGCACCUUAUGAGAAAUCAAAGUCUUUGGGUUCUGGGGGGAGUAUGGUCGCAAGGCUGAAACUUAAAGGAAUUGACGGAAGGGCACCACCAGGAGUGGAGCUUGCGGCUCAAUUUGACUCAACACGGGAAAACUUACCAGGUCCAGACAUAGUGAGGAU